This 344-nucleotide ribosomal RNA is filed under the name Escherichia coli. Its description in RNAcentral is "bacterial SSU rRNA". It matches the Rfam family "Bacterial small subunit ribosomal RNA", at positions 194 to 533 of the family's 1533-position model. The record is from RNAcentral. Lineage: Bacteria; Pseudomonadati; Pseudomonadota; Gammaproteobacteria; Enterobacterales; Enterobacteriaceae.
GGGGGACCUUCGGGCCUCUUGCCAUCGGAUGUGCCCAGAUGGGAUUAGCUAGUAGGUGGGGUAACGGCUCACCUAGGCGACGAUCCCUAGCUGGUCUGAGAGGAUGACCAGCCACACUGGAACUGAGACACGGUCCAGACUCCUACGGGAGGCAGCAGUGGGGAAUAUUGCACAAUGGGCGCAAGCCUGAUGCAGCCAUGCCGCGUGUAUGAAGAAGGCCUUCGGGUUGUAAAGUACUUUCAGCGGGGAGGAAGGGAGUAAAGUUAAUACCUUUGCUCAUUGACGUUACCCGCAGAAGAAGCACCGGCUAACUCCGUGCCAGCAGCCGCGGUAAUCCGGAGGGU